Molecule: ribosomal RNA, 322 nt
Filed under: uncultured eukaryote
Lineage: Eukaryota
Description: partial 18S ribosomal RNA
Rfam family: Eukaryotic small subunit ribosomal RNA
Source: RNAcentral
CCCUUAGAUGUUCUGGGCCGCACGCGUGCUACACUGAGUAAAUCAAUGGGUAAGGGAACACGAAAGUGCAACCUAAUCUUGAAAUUUGCUCGUGAUGGGGAUCGACGGUUGCAAUUUUCCGUCGUGAACGAGGAAUACCUUGUAGGCGCGUGUCAUCAUCACGCGCCGAAUACGUCCCUGCCCUUUGUACACACCGCCCGUCGCUCCUACCGAUUGAGUGAUCCGGUGAGGCUCUGGGACCUGGACGGAAAGAGCGUUUCGCUUGUUCUGUUUGGGAAACUUGGUCGAACCUUAUCAUUUAGAGGAAGGAGAAGCCGUAACA